RNAcentral lists this ribosomal RNA (774 nucleotides) under Staphylococcus pasteuri. RNAcentral describes it as "partial 16S ribosomal RNA". Lineage: Bacteria; Bacillati; Bacillota; Bacilli; Caryophanales; Staphylococcaceae. The record is from RNAcentral.
UCAGAGUUUGAUCCUGGCUCAGGAUGAACGCUGKYGGCGUGCCUAAUACAUGCAAGUCGAGCGAACAGAUAAGGAGCUUGCUCCUUUGACGUUAGCGGCGGACGGGUGAGUAACACGUGGAUAACCUACCUAUAAGACUGGRAUAACUUCGGGAAACCGGAGCUAAUACCGGAUAACAUAUUGAACCGCAUGGUUCAAUAGUGAAAGRCGGYUUUGCUGUCACUUAUAGAUGGAUCCGCGCCGUAUUAGCUAGUUGGUAAGGUAACGGCUUACCAAGGCAACGAUACGUAGCCGACCUGAGAGGGUGAUCGGCCACACUGGAACUGAGACACGGUCCAGACUCCUACGGGAGGCAGCAGUAGGGAAUCUUCCGCAAUGGGCGAAAGCCUGACGGAGCAACGCCGCGUGAGUGAUGAAGGUCUUCGGAUCGUAAAACUCUGUUAUYAGGGAAGAACAAAUGUGUAAGUAACUGUGCACRUCUUGACGGUACCURAUSARAAAGCCMCGGCUAACUACGUGCCAGCAGCCGCGGUAAUACGUAGGKGGCAAGCGUUAUYCGGAAUUAUUGGGCGUAAAGCGCGCGUAGGSGGUUUUUUAAGUCUGAUGUGAAAGCCCASGGCUCAACCGUGGAGGGUCAUUGGAAACUGGAAAACUUGAGUGCAGRAGAGGAAAGUGGAAUUCCAUGUGUAGCGGUGAAAUGCGCAAGWYAUGGAGGAACACCAGUGGCGAAGCGACUCUCUGGUCUGUAACUGACGCUGAGUGCGAACGCCUUCC